RNAcentral lists this long non-coding RNA (945 nucleotides) under Pan troglodytes (chimpanzee). RNAcentral describes it as "long non-coding RNA NONPTRT008007". The record is from RNAcentral. Lineage: Eukaryota; Metazoa; Chordata; Mammalia; Primates; Hominidae.
GACCACUUUUUUUUUUUUUUUUUGACAGAAUCUUGCUCUGUCUUGCCCAGGCUGGAGGGCAGCAAAUGAUCUCGGCUCACUGCAGCCUCCGCCUCCUAGGUGCAAGUGAUUCUCCUACCUCAGCCUCUUGAGUAGCUGGGAUUACAGGCGCCUGCCACCACACCCGACUAAUUUUUGUAUUUUUAGUAGAGAUGGGGUUUCACCAUGUUAGCCAGGCUGGUCUUGAACUCCUGACUUCAGGUGAUCCACCCGCCUCGGCCUCCCAAUGUGCUGGGAUUACAGGCAUGAGCCACUGCGCCCAGCUGAAGGACCACUUCUAAUUCCUACCUAUGUCUCUUGCUGCUAAUUAAACAUCUAAGUUUAGAGGCUAAGGGGGAUACUACCUGGGGACCAUUCCUCCGGACUGGAGUGAGCCUGUGUUUCUGUCUUCAUCUUAGCCCCGAGCUAUGGAUCAAACCUCGUCUGCCUGCAGCUCUGUGGUUGAUCCUGAGGGACUCCUUCAUUUGCACAAAUGAAGUGUAGAUAAGAAUUGUGUGUCAACUUUUAAUGAGCCCUCAAGGGUCAUUGAAAAAUUCCAUGGCUUUUUCACUGAUGAAACUUAGAAUUGGCUUCCCAGGGAUUGUUAUGACAAUAGAGUUUGGUAGAUCAUGCCAGCAGGUGUUCCAUUGGGCUGUUUGAUGCCACUCAAGGCUCUAGCCAAGCGCAUCUCUGAUGUGUCCUCCAGAAAGGGUGUCCAGGGGCUUUGACCGAUGAGCACGGGGAGUUUUGGAGGAGGGCUGGACGUGGCGAGUUCAGAUGAAUUCUACUAAUUGCUUGGCUGUAGGAACCAAACCUUGUCUGCCUGCAGCUCAAACAAGAGAACAAGCAAGAUGAGAUCCUCUGCCCUGCUGGUGUUUUUUUUUUUUGUUCUCAUGGGGAGAAAAUGUAUUAAAAUAUGAGUUACUG